This 2744-nucleotide long non-coding RNA is filed under the name Podarcis lilfordi (Lilford's wall lizard). The record is from RNAcentral. Lineage: Eukaryota; Metazoa; Chordata; Lepidosauria; Squamata; Lacertidae.
GGAGAUCUGGAGAAUUUGCUUUGUUUUUUCUUUAUUGUAAACUAUUCAAAGAGCUUUGCUAUGGUGGUGCACAAAUAUAUCCAAUAAAUAAAAUAUGAGAACAGAAACCCACACAUAUUUAGAGAUAAAAGCAAAAUAAACAAACAAAAUACCUGAAGUAACGAAGGAGCCCCUUUCCUUUUUAAAGCAAUUAUCAGUUAAAUAGCCUGUCGGAAGUGCCUACUGAAUGGUUAAUAAUGCUGGAAGUAAAACAGAGAGGAAAAGAAAGCUUCCAAAGUAAACAGAAACUUCCUAUAGAGGUGGAAACAUUUGCACUUCCAUUUGUCUGUCGCUGUGGACCACUGAAGAAACAUGCUGGCUAAUAUUAAAAGGGAAGAGGUCCCAGCACUGUGAAAGGUUUUUAAAGCCUUCCUACAUGAGUCAGAAUUGCAUUAGUCUCAGCAUGUAUUAUCAGUAAACCUAGGAAGGGCAUCGACAGGUGAGGAAAGUAGUUACAGCUAGGUCACAGUAGGAGCCUAUUAAGCUUCCUUCUCUGUAAUUACCACAGUUUUCUCUGCAGUAAUGGUAUUGCCAAGAUGCCUUGAAUUUGUUUGGAAUUCCCCACCCCCUUAUUUAGAAAAAGAAAUGGUUGGGGUUUUUUGGGGGGGCAGAAUAUGUGUGUUACAUUUCCUUCCCUCCUAAUUUAAAAACUUCCUGAUAUGUACAUUACUACAAUGGCAAACAAACUCCAGAUAGCAUUUUAAAAAAACAAAAACAAAAACUCCAGAUAGCAAAGUUGCUAUUUGCAUAGCAGAUCAAAGAAUUUACGUGCUAUUGUUGAUACAGAGAUUUGAAAAUAUUGAGAUGGCCAAGGAAACUGUAAUCAAUUAAUAAUUUUGCAAGACUGUUUAUUAAAAUGGGUAAGUGCUUUACUAAACAAAACUUUAAUUGAAACUGUCAAAAGUGAUCCACGGCUGCGUUGCAAUUUUCUCAUUCACACAUCAUUUCCUCUGCAGUUAAGUUAAAUCAUAAAUACUGCUCUUUAUUCUAGUCAGAUGUCUUGCCAUUUAAUACUUUAAUUUUAUGGAUCCUAAAGUUUGGGUGCAAGAUGUUCACUAAUGUCAAGUUACAACAUCUAUAUUAGGGCAGUAUCUUUAUUAUGCCAACUAAAAUGCCCAUAGUGCGCAAGGUUUUGAGGUCUCCAGAACCCUUCUUCAGGCAAGCUGAGGGGUGGCUGUGGACCUCCCAGAUGUGCUUAGAUCAUUCUUGACCAUCCGCCACACUGGUUGCAACUCAUAGAGCUAAAGAUGCAGAGUGCCUUUAGCCACCCCUGGGCUCAACAGUGCUAAAGAAGGGUGGUGGAGUGGAAGCUGAUGGUUGGUGAAGCUGUGCAGUCUGCAAGAUAAGUGCGAGGGUAGGUAAUAGAAAUUCACAUAAGGCUCUUAUAGGUAAGUUGCAGGUUGCAGGUUACAUCAAGGCCUGCUGGAAAGAAAGGGCAGCCCAGCUGCUACCUAGGCUUGUUUCCAUCCUUUGGCAAAACACACAGAGGCUUCCUUGGUAGGUGGAAAACCAAAAUAAAAAAAGGAGGCAGUUCCUAUAUUAGCAGAGCUUGACAUACAUUUUUGAUGGUGUGCUAGGUAACAAAAAGGGAACAGAAGCCCAAUUGCAUAGCUUUAGCAAACAAGUUGCAGGCAACAUUCUGUCAGGGAAUAAUAUAAAAACUUUAUUUAGUCUUCAUUCAUCUUCAUCCUACUUUCCCACCUUAUCUCCUAGGGCUAUUUCACAGGCCCUUCCUCUACUCAUCAGUGCCAUCUUCUGUGUCUGAUAGGUGGUCCCAAAAGCUGCUGCUGGGCAGCCAAGGGUCAGCAUAGGAUCAUUAUUCAGGCUUGGCCAUACUCUUCCAUCACCGAAUGGAUUUUCUGUCUGUCUGUGCCUGUCUACCUACCUAUUACAUUUGUGUUCCACCCUCCUUCAAAGAGUUCAGACUACCUUCUGUAGAAGCUAAUUUGUUUUCUCCUCAGAAUUGCCUUGUGGCUAGGCUGAGCAAGAAUGGCUGGACUCAGAUCAACUGGUGAGUUGCAUCACUGAGCAAGGAUUCUUACCCAGGCCUCAUCAGCUGAAAUCCAACACACCAAUUUAAUUCAUUACAUCAUAUUAGGAUUCCCUUACUUUUUUAUAUUAUCUCUUGGGUUUGUUAUUGGCUGCAUGCAGACAGUUCUUAAACCAUGAUUACUGUCUUCUUCCCUGAAUUAAGUAUGUGGCUUUUAAUGCAUUAUUUCCUAUUUUAAUCAAACCAUCCUUUGCCAUUGAGUCCCAAACACCAAACCAUGGUUCAGCUGCAACAGUAGACAAGGGUUGUUUAAAACAAGUGUAAUGAAUCAAACUCUGUGUGAGAGAGAAACAGAUCAGGGCAGGGAUAGGAGGGAGAGCAUGGAUGCAUUGUGUGGUCAUGAUCCUCCAAACCAUGGUUUGGAAGAUUGUCUGAAUGCUGCCAGUUUCUAUUUAGGUGUAGACUAGGACCACAAGAAUUGUGUUUGGGUGAGCCCUGGCAAGAAACAGUUCAGAAUAUCCAGGGAGAAUUUUUUGUGAGCAUAUGGAUGGAACAGUUUCUUUUACAGAAGAGUUCAUGGGCACGUUCAACUUGGAUCACACACAAAAUGUGCUGUGUGGCUUGCAAUGCAUAUUGAAGGUGCACUCUGGUGCACUGCUUUGUGCCCAGUCUCUUCAUCCCAAGCAUUGGCAUUAGUUUUUUGUUGUAAGCCCAC